This 50-nucleotide non-coding RNA is filed under the name Trichobilharzia regenti. The record is from RNAcentral. Lineage: Eukaryota; Metazoa; Platyhelminthes; Trematoda; Strigeidida; Schistosomatidae.
CUACUGUUGAAGAGUCCCAAAAGAGGACGAAACGGAGGGCUGUCCAGUAC